Molecule: ribosomal RNA, 253 nt
Filed under: uncultured bacterium
Lineage: Bacteria
Description: partial 16S ribosomal RNA
Rfam family: Bacterial small subunit ribosomal RNA
Source: RNAcentral
UACGGGGGGGGCAAGCGUUGUUCGGAAUUACUGGGCGUAAAGGGCUCGUAGGCGGCCAACUAAGUCCGACGUGAAAUCCCUAGGCUCAACCUAGGAACUGCGUCGGAUACUGGAUGGCUUGAAUCCGGGAGAGGGAUGCAGAAUUCCAGGUGUAGCGGUGAAAUGCGUAGAUAUCUGGAGGAAUACCGGUGGCGAAGGCGGCAUCCUGGACCGGCAUUGACGCUGAGGAGCGAAAGCCAGGGGAGCAAACGGG